Molecule: long non-coding RNA, 960 nt
Organism: Mercenaria mercenaria
Lineage: Eukaryota; Metazoa; Mollusca; Bivalvia; Venerida; Veneridae
Exons: 3
Source: RefSeq, a predicted model, not a curated record
UGGUGAGGACCUCCUCUUUUAUCCGUGUGUAAUAUUUUGGUUUAAACGACCGCGGAUCUACAAUUAGUUCAAAAUUUGUUAAUCUCGUGCUCUUAGGCUUUUUACUGCUAUACGCAUUAUCUAACACAUCCGGAUACGGUGUGCCUAGCAUUCAUGGCGAAUUCUAUAACUUUACAUUUCAGACAACACACAGCAAAGUUCCAAAUCUGACAAUGGAAACUCAGCGUUGACUGUCGGUGCAAUUUUAGGAGUAACAAAUAUCUUGACAGUAGUGUAUGCAGCUUAUUUAACAGUGGUUAUAAGAAGGUCACGAACAAGGUCGUUUGACGAUAAAUGCAUAUGCCACGGAAGACGUAAACCUGAUCCCACAGCAACUGUUGCCAAACGGGAUCUGGCAGUUGAUCAACAAAACCUAUUCUGUUAACGACGAUGAAGACACUUAUGAUUUAUCAAAAUAAGCUGGCUAAGAACGUGCUUUACGCAGGUCGUCAUCAAUAUCUUCAAAUAGUUAUCCAAACGUUACGUUAUUGUUAACUUUUACUUAUAUAGUCCUUGAUUAGCACAAAUUUUCAGAAAGAACUUACUAUAACUGCAGCAAAAAUAAAUUUGAACGUCUGGAACUAAACUUUUAGAAGGUCCAGCCACCAAUAGAAUGAGUAUCUAAAUACAAAAGUCAAUUAUGUUUUUGUUAAAGAUGAUAUCCAGUACACCAUAAUUUGUGUGGAAAUUAUUACUUCAUGUGUCAAGAAGAUGCAACAAUCACCGGAAGACUGCAUUUAGGGGUUAAUCAUAUUUCACAUUUAAAUGACUAUUUUUACAAAGGUCGGAAGAUAUACUGUUGCUGAUAUCUAAAAUACUUUAAAUAACAUUUAUUUAGAAAGCUGUUUACUGUGUUUUUUAAGAUAAAAAUUUAAAGCAUUAUGACCCUUUAAGCUUUCCUCUAAUAAAAGUGAAAUGUUA